Dreissena polymorpha is the source of this 573-nucleotide long non-coding RNA. RefSeq lists it as uncharacterized. The transcript has 4 exons. The record is from RefSeq and is a predicted model, not a curated record. Lineage: Eukaryota; Metazoa; Mollusca; Bivalvia; Myida; Dreissenidae.
GACCUCGUUUGAGACCGUGUACAGUAAAUUUUGUACAAACAUUGUACAAAAAAAACUCGUGUGCUGAUAAUCGGUUAUGACAGACGUGCGUGUACUACGGCGUGCAUGUGCAAAGUUUAUUGGAUACUGCUCGGGAGAUUAAGGCACUCGGCAUAAGUUACUACAACCUCCUCCAGAUGCUUCCCUAUCCCAAAACUCUCAAAAUUGUCCAUUUGUUAUAAACAAUAAGAAGCCAAAAGAGCUCCAGUCAACCUGUAACUUUACCUAGGUCAAUAAACGAUACAAAGAGAGAUCACGACCAGUGUCGCAGCCUACAUUUGCAACUUGUUGCAAAUCACUGGUUGGAUGCAAGAACUGCGUGGACACCUGGUACGAGAGCCUACCGCCAGCCAGUUACCCGAAGUGUAUGAGCCAGGACGGCACACAACGUGUCAUGACAGGGCUUUAUGAGGCCGUGCAUGCUCUUAGGAAUAAUUUACCAUACUAAUUGAAUGUACAUGUGUAUAUGUUUAGCAAUAAUGUGGAUUUUUUAUUUCAUUUCUUUAACAGAAAUGAAUACAGUGUAGUAAAUAA